This 240-nucleotide ribosomal RNA is filed under the name uncultured bacterium. Its description in RNAcentral is "partial 16S ribosomal RNA". It matches the Rfam family "Bacterial small subunit ribosomal RNA", at positions 538 to 776 of the family's 1533-position model. The record is from RNAcentral.
ACGUUAUUCGGAAUCACUGGGCUUAAAGCGCGUGUAGGCGGCCCGGCACGUCCGUCGCUGAAAUCCCCCGGCUCAACCGGGGAAGGGGCGCGGAUACGACCGGGCUGGAGGGGGGUAGGGGGAUCGGGAACUUCCGGUGGAGCGGUGAAAUGCGUUGAGAUCGGAAGGAACGCCCGCGGCGAAAGCGCGGUCCUGGACCCCACCUGACGCUGAGACGCGAAAGCCAGGGGAGCGAACGGG